GAUGAACGCUGGCGGCGUGCCUAAUACAUGCCAGUCGAACGAACGGACUAGAAGCGUGUUUUCCUGCUGUUAGCGACGGACGGGUGAGUAACGCGUAGAUUACCUACUAAUUUGACUUAGAUAACUUCGGAAAACCGGAGCCUAUACCAGCUAAUACUUCCAACCGCAUGGUGCAGGAGUGAAACAGGGUUUGGGUGUCAACUAUAGACGGAUCCGCGGUGGAUUGGCUAGUUGGUAAGGUAACGGCUUACCAAGGCGACGAUGCAUAGCCGAGCUGAGAGGGUGAUCAGCCACACUGGAACUGAGACACGGUCCAGACUCCUACGGGAGGCAGCAGUGGGGAAUAUUGGGCAAUGGGCGAAAGCCUGAUCGAGCAAUACCGCGUGGGUGAAGAAGGUCUUCGGGUCGUAAAACUCUGUUGUUAGGGAAGAACAUAUGUGUGAGUAACUGUGCACAUCGUGACGGUACCUAAUCAAAAAGCACCGGCUAACUACGUG
Molecule: ribosomal RNA, 497 nt
Filed under: uncultured bacterium
Lineage: Bacteria
Description: partial 16S ribosomal RNA
Rfam family: Bacterial small subunit ribosomal RNA
Source: RNAcentral